GAAAAAGUGCAGCCUAUACAGCUGUGAGAAAGUCCAAGACCUUCAAAUUUACAGCAAGUACCUACAGCUUCAUGGUAGAAAUUCUGGGAGAGUUAAGAAGUCAGAUCCUGGCUUGCAAAUGUAUGUUGUCUGUUUGAGGAAAGUGAGAGUGCCCCUCUGUGUUGGAAUCAUGGAGACGAUGCAGAGAAACAGCACACUCCUGAAUGUUCUCUCCACCCAGCAGAGAAAACUGUAGAUCCAGGUCCAUUCAGAUUGCUAACUUGGGGAAAGAAUGCUCCCUUUCCCCCAGCAGUAUGUGGUGUGAAAGAAUGAAUGUAACCUGUUGUUUAGGGAAUGUUACUAGCCAUUAGGAAGAAGGAGAUAUGAGUGAAUUUAGAAGAUGCAAAAGAUGCAAUGAGAUUUGGUCCAAAAGCCGCUGAUUGAAUUGCAGAAAGCACCCAGCAGGCUAGAGACAGACCUAAGGCAUGGCCGGUACAUGUAUUAUUUGAGCUUUUAAUUUUAAUGUAAUUUGGAAAGAUAUGUAUGUAUGGAACUCCAUCUCAACUUACUACAGUUUUUGUCUUGCUGUUCCACUCAUUUAUGACACCUGUUCUCUUGUCAUUUGACCUGUCCUUGAUUUAAAUAG
RNAcentral lists this long non-coding RNA (625 nucleotides) under Heterocephalus glaber (naked mole-rat). RNAcentral's name for it is "lncRNA (ENSHGLG00000033801.1)". The record is from RNAcentral. Lineage: Eukaryota; Metazoa; Chordata; Mammalia; Rodentia; Bathyergidae.